UGUGCUCAUGCUGAGUCUCUCUGGGCGGUUCCUCUUGUUUCCUGUUUCCUGUUUCCUUUUACUCUCCAGAGGCCGUGUCGCAGUUCUUUCUCUCAACGUGGAGCUCCAGCUGAAGGACUUUGAACUCGGUGUGUGUGUGUGUGUGUGUGUGUCAGUGUGUGCGUGUCUUGUCUUUGAAGGACUUUGAACUCGUCUGUCUGGAACGUUCUACUCGUCAACUCCAGCUGUUCUUUAGUUUCAGAGAGAGGGUCACCUCACUUCUAAAGGAGGUUGGACUCUGUGGAGGUCUGCAGGGUCCUGCAGGUUGGACUCUGUGGAGGUCUGCAGGGUCCUGCAGGUUGGACUCUGUGGAGGUCUGCAGGGUCUCCAGCUGCUUCUGACU
Molecule: long non-coding RNA, 382 nt
Organism: Etheostoma spectabile (orangethroat darter)
Lineage: Eukaryota; Metazoa; Chordata; Actinopteri; Perciformes; Percidae
Exons: 4
Source: RefSeq, a predicted model, not a curated record